Molecule: small nucleolar RNA, 138 nt
Organism: Tachyglossus aculeatus (Australian echidna)
Lineage: Eukaryota; Metazoa; Chordata; Mammalia; Monotremata; Tachyglossidae
Source: RefSeq, a predicted model, not a curated record
ACCCUCUCAGGAUAGCACCUGGAGAGUUUCCAGUACUCUACCAGUUUUGGCUACAGGAUGGGGAGUCAAGCAGUUGCAUUCCUAUUCCAUUCCUGGCUUGGGUAAUGGCUAGUGAGUGGAAGGCAAUCUGCUACAAGU